RNAcentral lists this long non-coding RNA (7530 nucleotides) under Homo sapiens (human). Its description in RNAcentral is "HSALNT0334611". Lineage: Eukaryota; Metazoa; Chordata; Mammalia; Primates; Hominidae. The record is from RNAcentral.
UAUAAAAACAAACAAAAUACAUCCUUAGGAUUACACAUAUCCCUAUGGUAGCAAUUUUCCACAAUCCAUUAUUACCAGUGAAAAUAUUUGCAUUUGCCUGUGUUUCUAGAAAAUAAUACAUUGUGUAGUGAACAUGGCUUUAUAGCAAAGGUUAAUUGUGUAUGUAUUUGAUAUGUUUUCUUAGCUAUAAUGAAAAUGGACUAGGGGGUAGGGAAAAUCACAAAUUAUGAGCAUAUAUUUUUAUCAUCAUUUAUUAAAAUCAGCCAAAAAAUAAAAGCCUCAGUGAAAAUUAGCCUCAGACUAAUAUAGAUAAUAAUAAUAAAAGCCUCAGACUAAAAUGACAGGACAUGGACACGUCCAAUAGUAAGCUAUUAAAUCAGCUUCCCAAAUAAUGCCCUGAUUUGUGGAUGUGUUCCAAUUCUGUGAUAUAAAUACCACCAACAUAGCUAAUUCUGAGAUGACAAGAUAAUAUCACUGAGCAGAGCUGGGAAGAGAUGCCCAACAGCAAACUCCAGUACACCACUGUUUACACAGAAUAGCUCAUUUAAUCUUCACAACAAGCCAUAUUUAUAUUUUCCGAGUGUGUUUGUACUAAAUGGAUUCAAUAACUAUUAAUAGCAUUAAUGAAUUAAUUUACUUCAGUUGCAUGAAGCAUCUGAGGAGAAUAAUAUUUAGAAUUGAUAUUUACUGAGCACAUACUAUAUACCAAGUUCCAUGAUAAAGUGUUCAUAUAUAAAUUCAUUGCAUCUUUAAAAUGACACUAUGUGGUAGGUACUCUUAUUUAUAUAUGAAGAAACUGAGGUCCAAAAAGGCUUAAAUAACUUGCCAAAGGUCCUACAAAUAGUAAGUGUUGACCAAGAUCUAGAGUGGUUAACCAAUGACCUAUAUUACUUCUUAGUUCCUUUGAACAUGUUAAGUGCUGACAUGACUUAGCAACAAAAUGGAAUACAUAGAAAAUAGUUACAUAAUUCAUGACAGUGUAAAACAUAUUUCACUCAGAGUUUCGGUAUUUUUGAUGACAGAGCCUGCUUCAUUAAAAUAAAAUUAUAUACCUAUUGUCCCAUUAAGCCUAUUGUGAAUUACAUAUCAUAGGCAUGCAACAGAUGUUUGGCAACUAAAUGCAGACACCUGGACAUCACAUAUAUAUGGGACCCUGACAUAGAGCAACCCUUGGUGAGUUAUCCUCAAUAGCCUAGGCCAGGUCUCAUGAGGUAUUUAUUUAUUUAUUUAUUUUUAAAGUAGCCUACUUUGCUUUCUCCCAUUAAAUGUAAGUCAACUAUUCUAUUUCCUAACCACCUCCCCUUCCCCACGUGAGGAGGAAAGGAUAAAGUAUUUAUUUAAUAUGGAGGGUGCAUGUCAGGAAAAAGUGAAGAUUUGUUCUGAAAGAGGAAAUAGUGGAAGAGCAAAUACAAUGGAUCACUAAAUAUGAAGUUUCCAUAGGAAGCAAUUUUCUUCUCCCCUGGGAAUCCUAGGAAAUGCGGGCAGAGUGCAAACAUGUGGUCCUAAGAAGCUCUUUAGUCAUCUACCAGCUAAGACCCUGGCUUUUUGGCUGGAAUCACUCCCUGGGAAUUCAACUCACACUAGCCCCAUCAUCAUUUCUUAGUUUGUUUAGCCUGAGUGGCUAGGGCUUCUUUCCUUUUUUAAAGGGAACAAUUUAAACCAGAUUUUUUAAAUCCAUGCUAUUAAUUCUAUCCUUCUGUGGGUUCCAGGUUAUUAGAAAAUUCUAAUGUUGUUAUCAGAUCCUAUUUCUCCCCUAACCUUUUCCUUAAAUUCUUUCUGAUAGGGGCUAGGAUGCAGGCAAGCAGUCUGGGUUAAAGAGACUGAAAGACCCCAUCAAAGAUUCUCACAUAAGUACAUUGACGUCUUGAGACGAAGAGAGGGAAACCAACUGCCUGAACACCCGCUAAAAGGUCCAUUCCUGACACACUUUAAAGUUUAUUGUGAGCAAACAUCUCUUGUUAAAUGUAAACAGCAUCUCACUGGAGGUCACAGACUUGCUGCUGCAGCAUAUCCCAAGGUAAUACCACUUUAAGCUCCACAUAAACUCUUAAGCAGUUUCUAUCCUAAAACCUGACCGUAGGUGGUACUGUUUUUUACGAUAUGUUAUAAUAGUGCAAUAAAUCUGUUAGCUUAAAAUCGAAUCUCCGUGGCCUUUUAGAGAAAUCAUCAUUAAAUGCAGGGUCCUGUUAAUGAUGCCAUCGAAGUGAAAUUGUUUAAUCUGCUAAGGGGGUGAAAGGUCAUCAAAUGAAUUUUUUAUAAUACAUCAACUUGACACGCAAUAGGGAAAACUGUAAUAGAUAAAAGCAAAGGAAAAGGGCACUGUCUUCUUCUGAUAGGUCAAUAGCAGCCAAGAGAGUCACUCAUCCACUUUCCUUUCAUGAUGGGCUCCUUUUGCAUUUAAUAUGGACACCCAAUUAAUACCUCAGCACCACAGACAACCUCAUUUUAGGUGACUUAUAGCAAUUUCUCCCCCUUCCCUGAAAUGAAAGUGAUCACAAUACAUCAUAGCAUUGUGCGAAUUAACGUUAAUUGAUUCAAGUUACCAAGCAAUGAUGGGCCACUUAUAUAAUCUAGGCGUUAUUGGGUGCUAGAAGGGAUGGAGGGAAGAUUAGAUUCCAGUGUCCGUUGCUGUGACGACGGGAGUCACCUGAUGCCUUGUUAGACAGUUGUAAGGUUCUAUUGCUGGCCCCAGUGGGGUCGUCAGUAAACUGGAGUGAUGUCCAAACAUCAUUACAUGCUGCUCCAAUAUUAAAGCAAAGGGAUUAGCAACUUAUUGCAAGCAACCUGGAUUUGUCAUUGUGCUGUCGUUAUCCAAUUUCCAACUGCUAAUGUGACUGUAGCCUGCAGGCAGAAGGACCUACAGCCAAACUUUAAAAAAUGGGGGAGAAAAGUUCCCUCCAUUCAUCCCAGUUUUUACCAUUAUUUAAUAGCUUCCAAUACCCAGUUAGAUCUGAAAUGUUUACCCUGUAGAAGAUGGAAUUAUUUCUAUUUGCAUGGAAAACUCAGAAAGCAAAGACAAUGAGCUCAUGAGCAACUUGAGUACAGAUAUCAGCCUUAUUCACCUUUGCAUAUGUCCUUCUGCUCCCAUAUACUCAACCAGUGCCCGAUAUACAAACCAAGAGAGAAGAAACAUCAACAUUUCCUGAGUAUGUACCAUGUUCCAGCUAUUCUGAAAGUCUUUCAACCAACAGUUCUUAUUUUAUUUAAUUAUCAUAGCAAACUGAGCGGUGUGUUUUUAUUGCUUCCAUUUUCCAAAUAAGAAAGUUGAACUUGUAGCUGUACUUGAAGGACUGUGAGAUAACAGAACUAAAUGUUAGAAGCAGCCUGGUUCCCUGAGUCACCACCAGGAGGGCAGCUACCAGGAGAGUCACCCAACCUUCUUCAGGCUGAGAUGUGAGUAAAACAAAGUUUUUCUAUUCUUAAACAACUGAGAUUUGGAGAUUAUUUGUUAAUUGGAGUAACUCUGUCUCAUACAAUAUCCAUGUUUUAUGUAAAUAAAGAAAAUUUAAAAAGUAAGUACAUACAGAGAGGCAAUGAACAAAUAAUGCUGAGGUCCCAGUUAGUUUAGAAGCAAAAGGAAGAGAAAAAUACAAGCAAUCUGACAUUGUGACCUACACUACAGCUACCAUUUAAAGAGGCUCCAAGGGGAUCUAUAGGACAUCGUUGUCUUCAUUCUGUGCUCUUGGAAGUUCACUAAGAAAUGACUGUGGAUAAGGUUUGCCCUGCUAGAUAUUCCCCCACUUGAUGGCCAGCUUAAAACUGAUUUAGAAGAUUUUAGAGACUGCUAGGGAUUCACAGCUUUACUAAGGUCUGAAAAGCAAGCACUUAAGCAGCAUACUGCAUGCCAAGAAACAAAAUCAGAAGGUACAAGCAGCUGGUUUGACCUUUGAGAAAAGUUUGGCAAAAGGGCAAGAGCAUAUUUAUAACUCCUAUGGGACAGUUCAUGUGCUUUCCAUUGGACUUGCUCUGUGUCAAAGGCCAAUUUCCAUCCAUUAUGAUUCACUAAGUUAGUUUUAUGAAUAUUAUGUUUAGAGAAAAUCACACACUGGGUCAAAAGCAAAAUUAGAGCAUAUCCAUCAUUGGGAAGUUUAUCAUUUCACCAACUAUAAAAUUCUUUUUGCUUGAAUUUAAGGCUGAUUUUCCCUGAAAUACAUGAUUUUCCAGAUAAAACUAGCCACUGAUCUUUCAAGAAUAGUUUUCUGGGUCAAUAGAAGCCGCCUUCUGGGAAAAUAUUACACCCCAUUACACAUCUGGCCAAUUCUUUGAGGCCAUUCAAACUGUUAGGAGUAAGAGUGGGAGAAUUCCUUCCUGUCCUCUGAGACAAUCAUUUUAUACCCCAAAACUUCAACCUCGUUAUUCUUAUCUUAGGGCAUAAUUACAAUGUUAUUAUUGGUCAUAAAAUUAACCAGAUUUUCCUCUCUUUUCUUUUCCUCUUCAGCAUUUGACUCCCUGACCUUCUUCAACAGAAAAGUCUAUGGGCUGAUUAUACGCUAAGAAUAGAAGUAUUUCCUCUUACUUGUUUUAAAUUUUCCCACUGUUAAUUUCUUUGAGAGCAUACUUGUUCUCAUAUUACAAAACAAUGUUAAAAAAAAUUUUUUUAAAGAAUUUUUACUACUUCUAUAAAAUCUGAAAAUUUUUGCUCUUGUAUCCCAGUGUUUCUGAGAUUGGUCCCUUUCGUUAUCUCACCAUCCAGAGGUCCUAGCCUACAUUUACGUUGGCCUAUAGUUACAUGAUUCAACUUAUAACCUAAGGCCCCUUGCCAGUUGCUCCCUGCACUUCACUUUACUAUUUCCCGAAGCAACUUCUUUGUUUUAGUUGAGGAGGGUUGCUACCUUCCUGUGGCAGUGGUUGCCAAAGUAUUGUUUUAAGAAUCAUUACCAGGCCAUGUAAGGACUUGGUAGAAAAAAUGGUUUUAUAGGUUAGCAGUCUGCUGGUGUGAGGGGUGGAAGAUAUGGUGGAGCCUUGGAAAACUCACUGUCAGGAAAACACAGCUAUACCUCCUAUGCAGACACUUUGCUCAACAGCACUUAGGCACAACUUACCUGCUGUCUAACCCAGAACUCCAUCCAAAUUCCAUUCCACUUAUCCACGUCUGACACUUCUUAAGUUUCUAUAAAGAUUUUUCUAACACUCUUUCUCUGCUGAUCACUGGCUGACAAAAUUCAUUCUAUAAUUCACUCUGAAAUUGACAGCAUUGUCCUAGAUGGAUGGCAUGCUUGGAUGACAGCACCUAAAUCUUACCUAGAGAUUCAAGGUGAGAAGGUUUUUGAACCCUUAACUCAUGUUCACCUUGUAAAGAAGGAUGAUCAUCCUUCUACUGUUUAUAUUAAAAUGAUUAGACUUGGUAAUCUUUAAAACCACAACAAAAGCUGGACUUCUUUCCAAAGAACCAGAACGCUUUACCUCUGACUUUGUCUUCUGCUAAUUCCCUUCCUGGUCAUUCUGCUCAAGCCACUCUGACUUCCUUGCUAAUCCUCACACACUGCAGGCACUCUCCCCACUUGGGGACUCUGCCAAGGCAGAUCUCUCUACUUUUCUCCCAGGUGUUCCUGUGGCUCAAUCCCACACCCUCUUCUCUGUCUCCUUCUCAGUGAGGCCUACUUUGGUCAGCCUAUGUACAAGCAUUCUUUUUGCUUUCUAUGAUGCUCUACAUUUUUUCUUUUGUCUAUAGCACUUAUAACUUUAUAAUCUACUAGAGAAUUUACUUAUUUAUUAUGUAUAUUACUUAGUCACUCCUCUAAGUAAGCUAAGAAAGUAAGCCCUAUGAGAGCAGGGUUAUUUGUCUAGUUUUGACACUUUACAACUAGCCAGAAAAGCACCAGGCACAUAGUAGACUCAGUAAUAUGUGUUAAAUUGAAUAAACUUAAUGCAUCCAUUCGUUUUCAAUGAUUAACUCUAGAAUUUUCCUGAUUCGCUCAGAUUGAAAUUGAACAUUCAAGUUGAAACUAUGAUCUACUCACUUGCAUGUUUGAAAUCUACAAGGACAACUUUCUAAAAAUAUUUUGCAAGGACUGUAUAUUUCAUAUGUCUUUCAGAGGCCAGAUAUGAAGUUACAUUUUCUCAGGUACUCCACUUUCUCUUGGUUUUCAGAAAAGUUGAUGUUCUUGCCCUCCUGAAAUCAUGGCACCAAAAACGGGGAUGUAAGUUCUUUCAUUGUCAAGAGUGAAUGAGAAGGAAAGGGGAAAAGAGGAGCAGGGAAGAAAUGGAUAAUACUAUUUCUAGUACCCUUCCUUCACAGAGAGGAAUGAAUUAAACAUGAGGCAAGAAGGUCACCAAGUUAGUUAGGCAUAUGAAUUAAAUCAGAUUGUCUGAAGAAAGUACUCUAUGAAGAUAGGGCACAGAGAAAGAAUACAACAAAAAUCAGAUGAUAAAAAAUGAAAAAAAAAGUUGCAUUUGUAUGGCACAUUUUAAUAUGUUAAGUACUAAUAAUAACUCUUGCCAUUAUGUGUUAAUAAUAGAUCCUUUUCUGUAUCAGCUAUAUUGUAUGCAUUAUAUAUAAAUGUUGACAACAUGAAAGAUAAUUCCUGUAUUUCUAUUCUACAGAUAACUAAACCUAAGCUCAUGGUGUUAAAUAUCCAUAGACACCCAUCUAUUCAGUGGCCAGCAGGGCCUGAAGCCAUAUGAUAGCCACCAUUGCACACAUUUUGCCACCAUGUCACCUGUUAUCAUUUGCCCUUCACAACAACUUUAAAAGGCAGAAAUAAGAGGUGGGAUUUCCAUUUGCCUGAUGAAAAAACUGAGUUUCUUAAAAUUUAGUACUUGCCCAAAGACAAAGUGAAUUAAUUAAAUACUGGUCUCUUGACAUCUGUGUCUAAUGUUCUUGUCAUAACAUGAUGUUCUUGUCAUAACAUGAUGCUCUUGGUGUUGGUAAUAAAACUAAUGUUUCUCAAAUAGAGGAUGAAUUUGUGAGUUAGUAAAUCAGUUCAGUUUUGACACUGCAAUCUCCAAAGAGAUCCUAAAAUUAUUUUCAUAUUUUCAAACGAUGUGGAUUAAUACUCAGUAUCAGAUUGCAUUCUACAAAUAGUAUUGCCUUGAGAUCCAUCCACUUGAAUUAACCAAAAAAUACUACUAAUUAACUAGACUUGAGAAAGGGCUGGUACUAGGCAAUGUGACUUUUUUAUGUCAUAUGUCACCUGGAUUACAUUUUCACUCUGAUGUACAUGUCAUUGACAGCAGUAGGCUGCUAGAAUUUGACACCAUGAAUUUAUCUGAUGAAGUGCACAGAAAGAGAUCUGUUUAUUAAUUCGUAAGCACAAUCUAGAGCCAUUUUAUAAUACAGUAUUUCCCCCUUCACAGAAUGAAUCAGUACUUGACUGAUUUAAGUAUAAAAUGCCUUGGUUUGUUAAACACAACCCCAUAUUGGGGAGAAUUGGACUUGGGUUCUACUAGCAGUUGUCCCAAAAUUUGCUAUUCUUAAACAAGUUGUCUUCCCUCUCAGGACUUCAAAGUCACCAUCAAAAACUUAGAAACAUCUCAAGUUAACAACCUAAUAUCACAACUAAAACAACUAGAGAACCAAGAGCAAACAAA